RNAcentral lists this transfer RNA (85 nucleotides) under Ancalomicrobiaceae bacterium. RNAcentral's name for it is "tRNA-Leu". It matches the Rfam family "tRNA". From Rfam's summary of the family: Transfer RNA (tRNA) molecules are approximately 80 nucleotides in length. Their secondary structure includes four short double-helical elements and three loops (D, anti-codon, and T loops). Further hydrogen bonds mediate the characteristic L-shaped molecular structure. tRNAs have two regions of fundamental functional importance: the anti-codon, which is responsible for specific mRNA codon recognition, and the 3' end, to which the tRNAs corresponding amino acid is attached (by aminoacyl-tRNA synthetases). tRNAs cope with the degeneracy of the genetic code in two manners: having more than one tRNA (with a specific anti-codon) for a particular amino acid; and 'wobble' base-pairing, i.e. permitting non-standard base-pairing at the 3rd anti-codon position. The record is from RNAcentral. Lineage: Bacteria; Pseudomonadati; Pseudomonadota; Alphaproteobacteria; Hyphomicrobiales; Ancalomicrobiaceae.
GCGGACGUGGUGGAACUGGUAGACACACCGGAUUUAGGUUCCGACGGCGAGAGCCAUGGGGGUUCGAGUCCCCCCGUCCGCACCA